RNAcentral lists this ribosomal RNA (382 nucleotides) under uncultured microorganism. RNAcentral's name for it is "bacterial SSU rRNA". It matches the Rfam family "Archaeal small subunit ribosomal RNA", at positions 330 to 718 of the family's 1478-position model. The record is from RNAcentral.
GCGCACCAGUCGCGAAAACUUUACAAUGUGCGAAAGCACGAUAAGGGAACUCUGAGUGCCUCCUAAGGAGGCUGUUCAGGUGUCUAAAAAGCACCUGAAGGAAGGGCUGGGUAAGACCGGUGCCAGCCGCCGCGGUAACACCGGCAGCCCAAGUGGUAGCCACGUUUAUUGGGUCUAAAGCGUCCGUAGCCGGCUGGGUAAGUUCCUUGGGAAAUUUGGCUGCUUAACAGUCAAGCUUUCAGGGAAUACCGCUCGGCUUGGGACCGGGAGAGGUCAGAGGUACUCCAGGGGUAGGGUGAAAUCCAUUAAUCCUUGGGGGACCACCGGUAGCGAAGGCGUCUGACCAGACCGGGUCCGACGGUGAGGGACGAAGGCUAGGGGC